Molecule: ribosomal RNA, 253 nt
Filed under: uncultured bacterium
Lineage: Bacteria
Description: partial 16S ribosomal RNA
Rfam family: Bacterial small subunit ribosomal RNA
Source: RNAcentral
UACGUAGGUGGCAAGCGUUGUCCGGAUUUACUGGGCGUAAAGAGCGCGCAGGCGGUCGUUCAAGUCGCGUGUGAAAGCCCCCGGCUCAACUGGGGAGGGUCACGCGAUACUGAUCGACUCGAAGGCAGGAGAGGGAAGUGGAAUUCCCGGUGUAGUGGUGAAAUGCGUAGAUGUCGGGAGGAACACCUGUGGCGAAAGCGGCGCACUGGACCACAACUGACGCUGAGGCGCGAAAGCUAGGGGAGCAAACAGG